This 448-nucleotide ribosomal RNA is filed under the name uncultured bacterium. RNAcentral describes it as "bacterial SSU rRNA". It matches the Rfam family "Bacterial small subunit ribosomal RNA", at positions 329 to 792 of the family's 1533-position model. The record is from RNAcentral.
GCCCAGACUCCUACGGGAGGCAGCAGUGGGGGAUAUUGCACAAUGGGGGGAACCCUGAUGCAGCGACGCCGCGUGAGUGAAGAAGUACUUCGUUAUGUAAAGCUCUAUCAGCAGGGAAGAAUAAAUGACGGUACCUGAGUAAGAAGCCCCGGCUAACUACGUGCCAGCAGCCGCGGUAAUACGUAGGGGGCAAGCGUUAUCCGGAUUUACUGGGUGUAAAGGGAGCGUAGACGGCGAUGCAAGCCAGAUGUGAAAGCCCGCGGCUCAACUGCGGUAGUGCAUUUGGAACUGUAUGGCUGGAGUGCAGGAGAGGCAGGCGGAAUUCCUAGUGUAGCGGUGAAAUGCGUAGAUAUUAGGAGGAACACCAGUGGCGAAGGCGGCCUGCUGGACUGUAACUGACGUUGAGGCUCGAAAGCGUGGGGAGCAAACAGGAUUAGAUACCCCGGUA